RNAcentral lists this ribosomal RNA (1554 nucleotides) under Shigella boydii. Its description in RNAcentral is "bacterial SSU rRNA". It matches the Rfam family "Bacterial small subunit ribosomal RNA". Lineage: Bacteria; Pseudomonadati; Pseudomonadota; Gammaproteobacteria; Enterobacterales; Enterobacteriaceae. The record is from RNAcentral.
AAAUUGAAGAGUUUGAUCAUGGCUCAGAUUGAACGCUGGCGGCAGGCCUAACACAUGCAAGUCGAACGGUAACAGGAAGCAGCUUGCUGCUUCGCUGACGAGUGGCGGACGGGUGAGUAAUGUCUGGGAAACUGCCUGAUGGAGGGGGAUAACUACUGGAAACGGUAGCUAAUACCGCAUAAUGUCGCAAGACCAAAGAGGGGGACCUUCGGGCCUCUUGCCAUCGGAUGUGCCCAGAUGGGAUUAGCUUGUUGGUGGGGUAACGGCUCACCAAGGCGACGAUCCCUAGCUGGUCUGAGAGGAUGACCAGCCACACUGGAACUGAGACACGGUCCAGACUCCUACGGGAGGCAGCAGUGGGGAAUAUUGCACAAUGGGCGCAAGCCUGAUGCAGCCAUGUCGCGUGUAUGAAGAAGGCCUUCGGGUUGUAAAGUACUUUCAGCGGGGAGGAAGGGAGUAAAGUUAAUAUCUUUGCUCAUUGACGUUAUCCGCAGAAGAAGCACCGGCUAACUCCGUGCCAGCAGCCGCGGUAAUACGGAGGGUGCAAGCGUUAAUCGGAAUUACUGGGCGUAAAGCGCACGCAGGCGGUUUGUUAAGUCAGAUGUGAAAUCCCCGGGCUCAACCUGGGAACUGCAUCUGAUACUGGCAAGCUUGAGUCUCGUAGAGGGGGGUAGAAUUCCAGGUGUAGCGGUGAAAUGCGUAGAGAUCUGGAGGAAUACCGGUGGCGAAGGCGGCCCCCUGGACGAAGACUGACGCUCAGGUGCGAAAGCGUGGGGAGCAAACAGGAUUAGAUACCCUGGUAGUCCACGCCGUAAACGAUGUCGACUUGGAGGUUGUGCCCUUGAGGCGUGGCUUCCGGAGCUAACGCGUUAAGUCGACCGCCUGGGGAGUACGGCCGCAAGGUUAAAACUCAAAUGAAUUGACGGGGGCCCGCACAAGCGGUGGAGCAUGUGGUUUAAUUCGAUGCAACGCGAAGAACCUUACCUGGUCUUGACAUCCACGGAAGUUUUCAGAGAUGAGAAUGUGCCUUCGGGAACCGUGAGACAGGUGCUGCAUGGCUGUCGUCAGCUCGUGUUGUGAAAUGUUGGGUUAAGUCCCGCAACGAGCGCAACCCUUAUCCUUUGUUGCCAGCGGUCCGGCCGGGAACUCAAAGGAGACUGCCAGUGAUAAACUGGAGGAAGGUGGGGAUGACGUCAAGUCAUCAUGGCCCUUACGACCAGGGCUACACACGUGCUACAAUGGCGCAUACAAAGAGAAGCGACCUCGCGAGAGCAAGCGGACCUCAUAAAGUGCGUCGUAGUCCGGAUUGGAGUCUGCAACUCGACUCCAUGAAGUCGGAAUCGCUAGUAAUCGUGGAUCAGAAUGCCACGGUGAAUACGUUCCCGGGCCUUGUACACACCGCCCGUCACACCAUGGGAGUGGGUUGCAAAAGAAGUAGGUAGCUUAACCUUCGGGAGGGCGCUUACCACUUUGUGAUUCAUGACUGGGGUGAAGUCGUAACAAGGUAACCGUAGGGGAACCUGCGGUUGGAUCACCUCCUUACCUUAAAGAAGC